AUGACAACAUCCUGGGAUGUAACCGUUUCAAAAAGAGCUUUAUGUGGGGCAGAGUGCUCCCGUCUGCCUAUUAUCCCUGCCUGUCAAUAUCCAGAGAACUGUAGGAAAUUUAAAAACAAAACAACACACUGUGCAGUUUCUCUCAAAGACUUUUCAGACACAGCCUUCUUAUUGUCCAAGAUCUUGCAAGUGAGAACAGUUCAUGUCCACAAGCUGACUGAGAACAUGGUGCAGCUGCCUAUGAUGCCAGGCCAGACUGAGUCAUGUUGUAUAACACAUUACCUGAGUUUGUGUACUUUGGUGAUAACAGUAGUAUGGGAACAUAAAGACUGGACUCAAAACCAGUUUCAGUUUUGUGGAAAGUAUUUUUAUAAACUAUUAUUUUGUGUAGGUUUCCAUUUUUCCAAUUCAGCAGUUGUCAUUUUUGUUAUAUUACAGAAGAAGAAAAAAAUUCCAAAAGUACUGCACUUGGGUAAGGGCAACCCCAGACAUAUGUGCAGACUGGGAGAACAACUUCUUGAGAGUAACCCUGCUGAGAAGGAUUUAGGAGUCCUGGUAGAUGAAAACGUUAACAUGAGCCAGCAGGGUGCGCUUGCAGCCCAGAAGUGCAAUGGUAUCCUGGGUUAUAUUAGAAGUGGGAGUGUCAGCAGGCGACUGUCCCUCCCUGCCUUCUUGACACCCUAUCUGGAGUAUUGUGUCCAGGCUUGGGGCCCCCAGUACAGGAAAGAUGUGGAGCUUUUGGAGAAACUCCAGAGGAGGACCAGGAAGAUGAUCAGAAGGCUGGAGCACCUCUCCUAUGAAGACAGGCUGAGGGAGCUGGGCUUGUUCAGUCUGGAGAAGAGAGGGCUCGGAAGAGACCUCAUUACAGCCUUGCAGUCUUUAAAGGGAGAUUAUAAACAGGAGGGUAAUCAACUUUUUACACAGGUGAAUAUCGAUAGGACAAGGGGAAAUGUUUUUAAAUUAAAGGAGAGGAGAUUUAGACUCGAUGUCAGGGGAAAGUUUUUCACAGAGGGUGGUGAGGCAGUGGCACAGGCUGCCCAGAGAAGUUGUGGGUGCCCCAUCCCUGGAGGUGUUCAGGGUCAGGUAGGAUAA
This 1092-nucleotide long non-coding RNA is filed under the name Phasianus colchicus (ring-necked pheasant). RNAcentral's name for it is "lncRNA (ENSPCLG00000012407.1)". The record is from RNAcentral. Lineage: Eukaryota; Metazoa; Chordata; Aves; Galliformes; Phasianidae.